RNAcentral lists this ribosomal RNA (253 nucleotides) under uncultured bacterium. RNAcentral describes it as "partial 16S ribosomal RNA". It matches the Rfam family "Bacterial small subunit ribosomal RNA", at positions 524 to 776 of the family's 1533-position model. The record is from RNAcentral.
UACGGGGGGGGCAAGCGUUGUUCGGAAUUACUGGGCGUAAAGGGCUUGUAGGUGGCCAACUAAGUCAGACGUGAAAUCCCUCAGCUUAACUGGGGAACUGCGUCUGAUACUGGAUGGCUUGAGUUUGGGAGAGGGAUGCGGAAUUCCAGGUGUAGCGGUGAAAUGCGUAGAUAUCUGGAGGAACACUGGUGGCGAAGGCGGCAUCCUGGACCAACACUGACACUGAGGAGCGAAAGCCAGGGGAGCAAACAGG